GGAAUCUUGCACAAUGGGGGAAACCCUGAUGCAGCGACGCCGCGUGAGCGAUGAAGCCCUUCGGGGUGUAAAGCUCUUUCGGCAGGAACGAUAAUGACGGUACCUGCAGAAGAAGCUGCGGCUAACUACGUGCCAGCAGCCGCGGUAAUACGUAGGCAGCAAGCGUUGUUCGGAGUUACUGGGCGUAAAGAGUGCGUAGGUGGUUCUCUAAGUUCGGUGUGAAAUCUCCCGGCUCAACUGGGAGGGUGCGCCGAAAACUGGAGAGCUUGAGUAUGGGAGAGGAGAGCGGAAUUCCUGGUGUAGCGGUGAAAUGCGUAGAUAUCAGGAGGAACACCUGUGGUGCAGACGGCUCUCUGGACCAUUACUGACACUGAGGCACGAAAGCGUGGGUAGCAAACAGGAUUAGA
RNAcentral lists this ribosomal RNA (407 nucleotides) under uncultured bacterium. RNAcentral describes it as "bacterial SSU rRNA". It matches the Rfam family "Bacterial small subunit ribosomal RNA", at positions 358 to 782 of the family's 1533-position model. The record is from RNAcentral.